CCCGGUUUAAGCAUGUAGGCGGAGAUUCCAGGUAAAUCCGGAGUCUUGUUAACGCUGAGGUGUGAUGACGAGGCACUACGGUGCUGAAGUAACAAAUGCCCUGCUUCCAGGAAAAGCCUCUAAGCAUCAGGUAACACGAAAUCGUACCCCAAACCGACACAGGUGGUCAGGUAGAGAAUACCAAGGCGCUUGAGAGAACUCGGGUGAAGGAACUAGGCAAAAUGGUGCCGUAACUUCGGGAGAAGGCACGCUGAUAUGUAGGUGAAGUGAUUUACUCAUGGAGCUGAAAUCAGUCGAAGAUACCAGCUGGCUGCAACUGUUUAUUAAAAACACAGCACUGUGCAAACACGAAAGUGGACGUAUACGGUGUGACGCCUGCCCGGUGCCGGAAGGUUAAUUGAUGGGGUUAUCCGUAAGGAGAAGCUCUUGAUCGAAGCCCCGGUAAACGGCGGCCGUAACUAUAACGGUCCUAAGGUAGCGAAAUUCCUUGUCGGGUAAGUUCCGACCUGCACGAAUGGCGUAAUGAUGGCCAGGCUGUCUCCACCCGAGACUCAGUGAAAUUGAACUCGCUGUGAAGAUGCAGUGUACCCGCGGCAAGACGGAAAGACCCCGUGAACCUUUACUAUAGCUUGACACUGAACACUGGUCCUUGAUGUGUAGGAUAGGUGGGAGGCUUUGAAGUGUGGACGCCAGUCUGCAUGGAGCCAACCUUGAAAUACCACCCUUUAAUGGCUGGUGUUCUAACGUAGACCCGUAAUCCGGGUUGCGGACAGUGUCUGGUGGGUAGUUUGACUGGGGCGGUCUCCUCCUAAAGAGUAACGGAGGAGCACGAAGGUUAGCUAAUCCUGGUCGGACAUCAGGAGGUUAGUGCAAAGGCAUAAGCUAGCUUGACUGCGAGAGUGACGGCUCGAGCAGGUGCGAAAGCAGGUCUUAGUGAUCCGGUGGUUCUGAAUGGAAGGGCCAUCGCUCAACGGAUAAAAGGUACUCCGGGGAUAACAGGCUGAUACCGCCCAAGAGUUCAUAUCGACGGCGGUGUUUGGCACCUCGAUGUCGGCUCAUCACAUCCUGGGGCUGAAGUAGGUCCCAAGGGUAUGGCUGUUCGCCAUUUAAAGUGGUACGCGAGCUGGGUUUAGAACGUCGUGAGACAGUUCGGUCCCUAUCUGCCGUGGGCGCUGGAGAAUUGAGGGGGGCUGCUCCUAGUACGAGAGGACCGGAGUGGACGCAUCACUGGUGUUCGGGUUGUCAUGCCAAUGGCAUUGCCCGGUAGCUAAAUGCGGAAGAGAUAAGUGCUGAAAGCAUCUAAGCACGAAACUUGCCCCGAGAUGAGUUCUCCCUGACCCCUUAAGGGUCCUGAAGGAACGUUGAAGACGACGACGUUGAUAGGUCGGGUGUGUAAGCGUAGCGAUACGUUGAGCUAACCGAUACUAAUGAACCGUGAGGCUUAACCUU
Molecule: ribosomal RNA, 1449 nt
Filed under: Citrobacter sp. KTE151
Lineage: Bacteria; Pseudomonadati; Pseudomonadota; Gammaproteobacteria; Enterobacterales; Enterobacteriaceae
Description: bacterial LSU rRNA
Rfam family: Bacterial large subunit ribosomal RNA
Source: RNAcentral